GUCCACGUAGCUCAGCUGGAUAGAGCACUCGCCUCCUAAGCGAGGGGUCGUGCGUUCGAAUCGCAUCGCGGACG
RNAcentral lists this transfer RNA (74 nucleotides) under Lachnospiraceae bacterium. Its description in RNAcentral is "tRNA-Arg". It matches the Rfam family "tRNA". From Rfam's summary of the family: Transfer RNA (tRNA) molecules are approximately 80 nucleotides in length. Lineage: Bacteria; Bacillati; Bacillota; Clostridia; Lachnospirales; Lachnospiraceae. RNAcentral also lists the same sequence under 1 other name. The record is from RNAcentral.